Molecule: ribosomal RNA, 405 nt
Filed under: Triticum aestivum (bread wheat)
Lineage: Eukaryota; Viridiplantae; Streptophyta; Magnoliopsida; Poales; Poaceae
Description: partial small subunit ribosomal RNA
Source: RNAcentral
AUGCAGGACGAGCUCGCCAUGGUCAGAGACGCCCUGCACAAGCUUGACAACAUCAGCAUGCCGCAGACAACGGAGAUCACCGCCGGCCAGCAGCAGCAUGUCUCCGCCGAUUCUGACAUGGCCAAGACGACGAAGGCGUCGGUCAUGAAGACGGCGGCGACCGCUAUGAGAAAGGAUGCGUCCGGUUCCGCCGCCGGGGACCGUGCUGGCCUCUGCUCCGAGGAGAAGAUGGAAGCCGCGAAACGCAGGUUCCGCCAAGGUUACCAGGAAGCAGAGGACGCCAAACGGCUGCGCACGACACGAUUGGUGCAGGCGCCCAAGAUGAUGCAGCCAAUCAGGAGGUGCACCAGCUCCAUGGCCAAGAAGAAAACCUUCGUGGUCAGGACGCAGCUUCACAUGGCUUAG